GUUUGUCUUCAAGGCGUGGUGAAAUUCCCGACCGGCGGUGACAGCCCGCAACCCAUUGUUAAUGGUUGAUCUGGUGUAAUUCCAGAGCCGACAGUACAGUCUGGUAUAAAGAAGAUUUCU
This is a regulatory RNA element of 120 nucleotides. It matches the Rfam family "FMN riboswitch aptamer (RFN element)". From Rfam's summary of the family: The RFN element is a highly conserved domain that is found frequently in the 5'-untranslated regions of prokaryotic mRNAs that encode for flavin mononucleotide (FMN) biosynthesis and transport proteins. This element is a metabolite-dependent riboswitch that directly binds FMN in the absence of proteins. The record is from Rfam.